GACGAACGCUGGCGGCGUGCUUAACACAUGCAAGUCGAACGGUGAACGAGGGAGCUUGCUCCCUCCGGAUCAGUGGCGAACGGGUGAGUAACACGUGAGCAAUCUGCCCCGAACUCUGGGAUAAGCGUUGGAAACGACGUCUAAUACCGGAUACGACUCGGGAGGGCAUCCUCUCCGCGUGGAAAGAACUUCGGUUCGGGAUGAGCUCGCGGCCUAUCAGCUUGUUGGUGAGGUAACGGCUCACCAAGGCGACGACGGGUAGCCGGCCUGAGAGGGUGACCGGCCACACUGGGACUGAGACACGGCCCAGACUCCUACGGGAGGCAGCAGUGGGGAAUAUUGCACAAUGGGCGCAAGCCUGAUGCAGCAACGCCGCGUGAGGGACGACGGCCUUCGGGUUGUAAACCUCUUUUAGCAGGGAAGAAGCGAAAGUGACGGUACCUGCAGAAAAAGCACCGGCUAACUACGUG
Molecule: ribosomal RNA, 470 nt
Filed under: uncultured bacterium
Lineage: Bacteria
Description: partial 16S ribosomal RNA
Rfam family: Bacterial small subunit ribosomal RNA
Source: RNAcentral